AGCGAACGCUGGCGGCAGGCUUAACACAUGCAAGUCGAGCGGGCGUAGCAAUACGUCAGCGGCAGACGGGUGAGUAACGCGUGGGAACGUACCUUUUGGUUCGGAACAACACAGGGAAACUUGUGCUAAUACCGGAUAAGCCCUUACGGGGAAAGAUUUAUCGCCGAAAGAUCGGCCCGCGUCUGAUUAGCUAGUUGGUGUGGUAACGGCGCACCAAGGCGACGAUCAGUAGCUGGCUGAGAGGAUGAUCAGCCACAUUGGGACUGAGACACGGCCCAAACUCCUACGGGAGGCAGCAGUGGGGAAUAUUGGACAAUGGGCGCAAGCCUGAUCCAGCCAUGCCGCGUGAGUGAUGAA
This 357-nucleotide ribosomal RNA is filed under the name uncultured bacterium. RNAcentral describes it as "bacterial SSU rRNA". It matches the Rfam family "Bacterial small subunit ribosomal RNA", at positions 29 to 412 of the family's 1533-position model. The record is from RNAcentral.